RNAcentral lists this long non-coding RNA (2430 nucleotides) under Salmo salar (Atlantic salmon). RNAcentral's name for it is "lncRNA (ENSSSAG00000102212.1)". The record is from RNAcentral. Lineage: Eukaryota; Metazoa; Chordata; Actinopteri; Salmoniformes; Salmonidae.
GCUGCCAGUGGACAUCAUGUUUGGAAGUACCCUGAAAAACGAAGACGUGUUGACUCAUGACGAGUAUGUUGACUCGUUCCAAAAGGACCUGCGAGAGGCUGUCAGGAUCGCUCAGGCCAACACCACUGAAGCUCAGAAAAAGCAAGCCAGGCAGUAUAACAAGAGAGUGAAGGGUACUGCCCUGGAGAUUGGGGACCGAGUUCUCUUGGCAAACCGAAAGGAAAGAGGAAAAGGUAAACUUGCCGACUUGUGGGAUUCAACGGUCUAUGUGAUCACAUGGAAAGACCCGUCUGUGCACAUCUACAGAGUCGAAGAUCCUACUACCAAGAAGAGUAAAGUAGUUCAUCGAAACUUCAUACUGCCAGUGAACUUCCUGCCGGUGGGACAGACAGACGAGAUGUCCACAGUAGCCUCUACUGCUUCAGAGGAGGACAUAAACGGAGACAGCGGUGACGAAAGACCGGUAUUCGAUGUGGAUGAGGAUUCAGAGGAUCGAAGGACUGCUGUCUGGAUUCUCGAGGGCCAGAACCCUGAGGGGCCCACGGAAGCUGAAGGUCAAAAAUCUUCGGGACCGGAAGAUGGCGUGAACAUGAGAGAAGCUGCUCCUCAAUGCCCAGCGAAGGACAUGAUCUCAGGACAAGCAGCUAAAUCAAGCACAGGAAGCUCCUCAAUGAUGCCUGGUGAUGAUUCAAGUGAUCCUUCUGAAAAUGACACAAGUAGAGAAGCAACGUCGGUGAGCAGUCUAGAUGGCAUCAGCAGUAGAAGUUCAUCAGUCAGCGGCUCUGUAUGCAUAAGAUCUACUAAGAAGAGAAUGAGUAACCAGAGAGAGGUAGAGCGCAGAAACAGCCAGACAUCUGAGCUCACUGAUACAGUCCUGAGACCAAGUGAAGGCACUUUGAGAACUCGAACUGGAAGAGUUGUGAAGCCUGUCAGAAGACUUUUAGAGUCAAUGAGUCAAGUGAUUGCUGAGCCGGACAAAAGAGAGCAUCUAGCCGCCCUGAUUCAAGCCUUAUCAACUUUUGUUGAAGUGACAGUACCCCAGUGACACAGAAGCCAGAAGAUAGAUUAAGGAAAUGAGAAAUACUUUAUUAGGGGGUCAUAGGUUGUAUGUAUAUGGGCAUAUUUCUACCUGGCAAAGUCUCUUUGCUGUCCUUCUGGACGACUCUUGGUCAAGGUUACCCCUGUGGAGGAAGAAGUCUUACCUUAUGUCUUGAAGUUUGCUGAAAUCAAGAAGGGGUGAGUGUAGUAGAGUUAAAAUGGUUAUUCCAGCAAACUUCAAAUUAUUAGAAUAGUACACAACGCAGAACAGAACAAUCAGGUUGAGGGUCAGUGGCCAAAAGCCCGCGAACAGGAAUGUUCCAAGUUCAGACAGAAGGGGGGAGUCAGAUCGCCAGGAACUUUACUUUUGGUUUCUAAUUUUAAUUGUUGCGCUACUGGUGAUGCCUGUUGAUGUUAGGUAGGCAGCUACAGUAGCUGAAUGAUGUUAACAUCUUCAGGUUUUGUUUCAUUAAAUGUAUUUUAUUUUAUCUGGGUGCUUACGUCACCUACUGACACCCUGGUACUACCCAUAGAUCCCGCUCUCCUCAGUCUGAGAAAACACUGAGAGAGAAAGAACAACUUGUCAGGUGGUGCAUUGGAGACUGAUGUGUUCCUGUCCUGUCUUUUCAUAAUACUAUUGCAGAUCGACAUAAAAGCCUAAAAGACAGCCGUGGUGUUGCUCUUCAUUUCUUGGUUCUCCUGUGGUGCAUAAGAAACCCGCUACAUAUGCUGCAGCUAACCACUCAUCUGCUCUCUCUGGGGAGAUGAAUGCUCUUCCCCGCUCACUCUGGGGAGAGGGUCACAUUGAGCACCACCUGACAGUUCUCCGGUUCGCCCCACACACCUUCGAAGACACCUAGCACACGGUUGAGCCGCGCUCACCGCUUCAACAAUUUCUGCAAAUUGAGACGGGUAAGAUGUGUGAUGUACUGUAAAACUGACACCUUUCUACACUACUUCAAUUCUCAGAGACAAAACAUCUGUAAGCUAAACCUUCCAGGUCUCACUGUCUUUGUUUUUUUUUAUAGCUUAUUAAGCCAUCACCAGUAUGAGUGAUAGUUAUAUUUAACAACAUUUGUGUUUGGUAGAUUUUCAUUACUCUAUACCAGACGUAUAGAUUUAUAUUAUUAUACAUUUGAAAUGUUUUCUUGAAAGAAACAAAUGAAUUCCUGUAGGGACCUUAUGAAAAGCUUGAACCAAAAGGGAUUUCAAAUAUGAACUAAACAAGUAGUUAAAGAGCAGCAGUAAAAUAACAAUAGCGAGACUAUAUAGUGUGGUACCGGUACAGAGUCAAUGUGUGGGGGCACCGGUUAGUCGAGGUAAUUGAGGUAAUAUGUACAUGUAGGUAGAGUUAUUAAAGUGACUUUGCGUAGAUAAUAACAGAGUAGCAGC